AGUGAACGCUGGCGGUAGGCCUAACACAUGCAAGUCGAACGAGUGGCGGACGGGUGAGGAAUACAUCGGAAUCUACUCUGUCGUGGGGGAUAACGUAGGGAAACUUACGCUAAUACCGCAUACGAUUGAAUGAGCCGAUGUCGGAUUAGCUAGUUGGCGGGGGAAAGGCCCACCAAGGAGACGAUCCGUAGCGGGUCUGAGAGGAUGAUCAGGCAAACUGGAACGUGGACACGGUCCAGACUCCUACGGAAGGCAGCAGUGGGAAAGAUUGGACAAUGGGCGCAAGCCUGAUCCAGCCAUACCGCGUGGGUGAAGAAGGCCUUCGGGUUGUAAAGCCCUUUUGUUGGGAAAGCGGUACCCAAAGAAUAAGCACCGGCUAACUUCGUGCCAGCAGCCGCGGUAAUUC
Molecule: ribosomal RNA, 406 nt
Filed under: uncultured bacterium
Lineage: Bacteria
Description: partial 16S ribosomal RNA
Rfam family: Bacterial small subunit ribosomal RNA
Source: RNAcentral